Molecule: transfer RNA, 434 nt
Filed under: Acer pseudosieboldianum subsp. takesimense
Lineage: Eukaryota; Viridiplantae; Streptophyta; Magnoliopsida; Sapindales; Sapindaceae
Description: partial transfer RNA-Leu
Source: RNAcentral
AAAAUCCGUCGACUUUAGAAAUCGUGAGGGUUCAAGUCCCUCUAUCCCCCCAAAAAGACCGCUUUGACUAUUUCUCCUACCCUCUCUUUUUUUUAGUGGUUCCAAAUUUGUUCUCUUUCUCAUUCAUUCUACCUUUUUACAAACGUAUCAGAGCAGAAUUUUUUUCUUUUAUCACAAUCACAAGUGGUGUGGUAUAUAUGAUAUACGUACAAAUGAACAUCUUUGAACAAAGAAUCCCGAUUCACAAUUCAUAUCAUUGCUCAUACUGAAACUUAUAAAUUAUUCUAUUCAAGAAAUCUAAUUCCACGCUCAAGACUUUUAAUACUUUUUUUAUCUUUUUUAAUUGACAUAGACCCCAGUCAUCUAGUAAAAUAAGGAUGAUGCGCCGGUAAUGGUCGGGAUAGCUCAGCUGGUAGAGCAGAGGACUGAAAAUC